GACGAACGCUGGCGGCGUGCCUAAUACAUGCAAGUCGAACGCAGUGGGUACGGGUGGGUAACCCGUGGGUAACCUCCCAUCAGAGGGGAUAACACUUGGAAACAGGUGCUAAACCGAUACUGAUGGAUGGACCCGCGGUGCGUUAGCUAGUUGGUGAGGUAACGGCUCACCAAGGCCACGAUGCAUAGCCGACCUGCCAGGGGGAGCGGCCACACGGGGACUGAGACACGGACCAGACGCCUACGGGAGGAAGCAGGAGGGAAUCUUCGGAAAUGGACGAAAGUAUGACCGAGCAACGCCGCGGGAGUGAAGAAGGGUUUCGGAUCGUAAAACUCUGUUGGUAGAGAAGCGGUAUCUAACCAGAAAGCCACGGCUAACUACGUGCCAGCAGCCGCGGUAAUAC
This 403-nucleotide ribosomal RNA is filed under the name uncultured bacterium. RNAcentral's name for it is "partial 16S ribosomal RNA". It matches the Rfam family "Bacterial small subunit ribosomal RNA", at positions 28 to 526 of the family's 1533-position model. The record is from RNAcentral.